Long non-coding RNA from Folsomia candida, 897 nucleotides. RefSeq lists it as uncharacterized. The record is from RefSeq and is a predicted model, not a curated record. The transcript has 2 exons. NCBI's taxonomy places the organism in Eukaryota, Metazoa, Arthropoda, Collembola, Entomobryomorpha, Isotomidae.
GGUGUAAUAAGACUAGAUAAGCAAUUUUGAAUUUAACAGGUCGGAUGAGCCGUUGAUGCGAGGAUCUCACCACGACCAACACCAGCGGAGAAACCACAAGAACCAGGGGGAAAGAUAAGUCGGUUGUUUAUUCUGGGUGAGUUUAAAGGGAGAUCGUCGGUGCUCAUUAACAUGCAAGUUGAGUGGUUUUCUUGGGUGACUGGAUGGAAGAAAACAAUCUGAGAGUGAGCACAAGAGCAUCAAGGCAACCACUCCUUGAGAAGUUUAGCAGGCAGGCAGGCAGCUAUCUCAAUAUUUCUUGUUAACAGUGACACUGAGACGGAAUGGUGAAGAAGCAUCAACAUCAUCCAACAUUCUCAUCCUCGAGAGCCGUCCGUAGAGCCGUGUAGAGUGGAUAUUGAGACCAUCCAUAAGUUGUCAUCAAGACUUCAACUCAACUUCAACUCCAUUUAUCUUCCUCGUCACGAUUUCUUAAACAUUGCACAAUUUCAGCUCACCAUCAACUUCUCCCAACACUAAAUUUGGUCACCUUUUGAAAAAUUACGUCCACACUUGACAAAUGUGCACUCCGCUUUGGAAUUGUCAGUCCACAGGAAUUUGCUCUGUUUCACUCGACUGCAACCUAAUUACCCAAAGAGGCAGCUAUCAAACAAACUUGGACGCAGACGACGGGUGAUUGAUGGAACAAUUGGGUGACAGACCGUUAAAAACGAGACCUGACGAACCAAUUAAUGCAAUGGUACACACACAACAUACUUGUAAAUGCAACAAUGGCUUUUCCUGUGCAGCCGCAAUUCGAGCAACAUUGAUGAAUUGUUUCUCUCUUUUUUUACAAAUGUCAGAACUUGACGAGUGUUAUUGGAGAUGAAACUAAUUAAAAUGACAAAUGACAAUUUA